This 1458-nucleotide ribosomal RNA is filed under the name Cyanobium sp. JJ5-5. RNAcentral's name for it is "bacterial SSU rRNA". It matches the Rfam family "Bacterial small subunit ribosomal RNA". Lineage: Bacteria; Bacillati; Cyanobacteriota; Cyanophyceae; Synechococcales; Prochlorococcaceae. The record is from RNAcentral.
GAUGAACGCUGGCGGCGUGCUUAACACAUGCAAGUCGAACGAACCUUCGGGUUAGUGGCGGACGGGUGAGUAACGCGUGGGAAUCUGCCCUCAGGAGGGGGAUAACGGCCGGAAACGGCCGCUAAUACCCCAUAUGCCGAGAGGUGAAAUGAACUUCGCCUGAGGAUGAGCCCGCGUCUGAUUAGCUAGUUGGUGGGGUAAUGGCCCACCAAGGCGACGAUCAGUAGCUGGUCUGAGAGGAUGAUCAGCCACACUGGGACUGAGACACGGCCCAGACUCCUACGGGAGGCAGCAGUGGGGAAUUUUCCGCAAUGGGCGAAAGCCUGACGGAGCAACGCCGCGUGAGGGAUGAAGGCCUCUGGGCUGUAAACCUCUUUUCUCAAGGAAGAAGACAUGACGGUACUUGAGGAAUAAGCCACGGCUAAUUCCGUGCCAGCAGCCGCGGUAAUACGGGAGUGGCAAGCGUUAUCCGGAAUUAUUGGGCGUAAAGCGUCCGCAGGCGGCCUUGUAAGUCUGUCGUUAAAGCGUGGAGCUUAACUCCAUUUAAGCGAUGGAAACUACAAGGCUUGAGUGUGGUAGGGGCAGAGGGAAUUCCCGGUGUAGCGGUGAAAUGCGUAGAUAUCGGGAAGAACACCAGUGGCGAAGGCGCUCUGCUGGGCCAUAACUGACGCUCAUGGACGAAAGCCAGGGGAGCGAAAGGGAUUAGAUACCCCUGUAGUCCUGGCCGUAAACGAUGAACACUAGGUGUCGGGGGAAUCGACCCCCUCGGUGUCGUAGCUAACGCGUUAAGUGUUCCGCCUGGGGAGUACGCACGCAAGUGUGAAACUCAAAGGAAUUGACGGGGGCCCGCACAAGCGGUGGAGUAUGUGGUUUAAUUCGAUGCAACGCGAAGAACCUUACCAGGGUUUGACAUCCUGCGAAUCCCUUGGAAACGAGGGAGUGCCUUCGGGAGCGCAGAGACAGGUGGUGCAUGGCUGUCGUCAGCUCGUGUCGUGAGAUGUUGGGUUAAGUCCCGCAACGAGCGCAACCCACGUCUUUAGUUGCCAGCAUUCAGUUGGGCACUCUAGAGAGACCGCCGGUGAUAAACCGGAGGAAGGUGUGGAUGACGUCAAGUCAUCAUGCCCCUUACAUCCUGGGCUACACACGUACUACAAUGCUACGGACAAAGGGUUGCAAGCUCGCGAGAGUUAGCUAAUCCCAUAAACCGUGGCUCAGUUCAGAUCGUAGGCUGCAACUCGCCUACGUGAAGGAGGAAUCGCUAGUAAUCGCAGGUCAGCAUACUGCGGUGAAUACGUUCCCGGGCCUUGUACACACCGCCCGUCACACCAUGGAAGUUGGCCAUGCCCGAAGUCGUUACUCCAACCCUUGUGGAGGAGGACGCCGAAGGUGGGGCUGAUGACUGGGGUGAAGUCGUAACAAGGUAGCCGUACCGGAAGGUGCGGCUGGAUCACCUCCUAA